RNAcentral lists this long non-coding RNA (5076 nucleotides) under Capsicum annuum. RNAcentral's name for it is "long non-coding RNA (CANN_LNC004465)". The record is from RNAcentral. Lineage: Eukaryota; Viridiplantae; Streptophyta; Magnoliopsida; Solanales; Solanaceae.
AUUUAUUACAAGAUAGAUCAAUAACCAAGCUUCGCCAUGAAAGCUUUAGAGAGAGAAAAAUAAAUGUCUUAACUUGAAACUGAAUAUAAUAUUUGUGUCUAGAAGGAUCUAAUUGAUCCUUUAUAUUCAAGAGUGGGCCAAACAACCCGAAAAAUAUAUAUUGGGCUAUUUCUCUACUACUAUCCCAAAAGAAUGAAAUAAAGUGACCCAAUUAUAUACACAUACAAGAACAACAAUAUAUUUACAGCACACAUGUAACUAAGCUAAGCAACUAAGUAACGCUCCCCCUCCCCCCCCACCCCGCACGCGCGCAAGUUGGAGGGGCCUCGAACACUCAACUUGAACAAGAGAGGAUGAUGAACGAGUUCAGUGGGUGGCUUGGUGAAUAUAUCAGCAAGCUGAGAACCUGAGGGAACAUGUCAUAGGGUAAUCAAUCCAUCAGACAACUUAGUGCGAAUAAAGUAACAGUCCACUUCGAUAUGCUUAGUCUGCUCAUGAAAUACAGGGUUCCGAGAUAUGUGAAUAGCAGCUUGGUUGUCACAAAAUACUGGAACAGGAACUGAAAUAGUGAUGCCUAAAUCAGCAAGCAAACGCAACAACCAUAUCAAUUCGUCCACAACUUUGCUAAUGGACCUAUACUCAGCUUCGGCAGAAGAAAGAGAUACAAAAGGCUGUUUCUUAGCCUUCCAGGUGAGCAAGAACCACCCAAGAGAACACAAUAGCCAAUAACAGAGCGACGAGUGUCGGGGCAUGCUGCCCAUCACUGUCAUAAAUUACAGUAACAGAAAAAUCAGGGGAAUUAGAGAAAAAUAAACCCAAGGUAGAAGUCCCUUUUAAAUAGGUUACAAAUGUAAUGCAGCCUUCAUAUGACAAUCUGAAGGUGUUUGAAAAAACUAACUUAAAUGCUGAACUGCAAAUGAUAAGCCAGGCCUCGUAUGAGUGAGAAAAUUAAGCCUCCCCACAAAACUGUGAUAAGCCUCGAGAUUGGGUAAUGGGGUACCCAUGUAUGCCUUCAAUUUAAUAGACAAAUCAAGAGGACAAGCAAAUGGGGAAACCACAUCAUAAUGAAAGUCAUGUAGUAGAUCAAUAAUGAACUUCUUCUGAUGAAGAAGCAAACCUUUAUUAGAAUAGUGAACCUCAAUUCCCAAGAAAUAACUCAAAAUAACCAGAUCUUUGAUUCAAAAUUGAGAGUCAAGAAAAGAUUUAAGGGCAAAAAUUUCAUCAAGAUCAUCACCAAACAAAAUUAUAUCAUCAAUAUAAACUGUAAUAAGCACAAUAGAAGAGGUAGACUUCAUAAUAAAUAAAGAAUGAUCAUUAAGGGAGUGAGCAUAACCCUGGAAUAAAAUGCUUGUGAAAGUUUAGCAUACCACUGUCGAGAGACUUGUCGAAGCCUAUAAAGAGACUUUUGAAGAUGACAAACCAAAUGGGAAGAGCCAGAUGGACAGUCAACAGUCAGACCAGGUGGGAGUCUCAUAUAUACUUCCUCCUCCAAGUCACCAUGCAAAAAUGCAUUGUUGACAUCGAGUUGGGACAAAGGCUAACCCAUUUUUACAGCCACAACAAUAAGACUUUUGACAGUAAAAAACUUGAUGACAGGUGAGAAGGUUUCAUUAAAAUCAACCCCUUCUACUUGGGUGUCAUAUCUAACAACCAAAUGAGCUUUAAAAUGCUCAAUAGAACCAUUGGCCUUGUAUUUUACCUUAUAAACCCACUUACAACCGAUGGGUUUCUUGCCCGGAGGAAAUGAAAUAAUAGACCAUGUGUUGUUGGCUUGAAGGGCCUUGAAUUUCAUAGUCAUGGCAUCCUGCCAAGCAGGGAUGCAAGCAGUCUGCUUGUAGGAUUGUGGUUCAGGUGCAACAUUGUUAGAAAAGUGACUAGGAUACGUGAAAGAUAGACUAGAGCUACAAAUAGAAUGGGGAAGAUCACAUACAAACUGCUGAAGAUGGGCUGGGGUAAUGUGUGAUCUGGUGGAUCUUCUGGGAGGGGUAGGAGCAGCAGUUGAAGGAGAAAUAGUGGAAAGAUGUGGAGAUGAAGUGGUAAAAUGAGGUUCAGAUGAAGCAUAUGUGACAGAAGAUGAAGAGAGAGUAUGGAAGGAUGUAAGGUCAUGAAAUGGGAAAGAAAAUUCAUGGAAUACUACAUCUCUAGAUAUAAAGGUGAGGUGAUUCUAGAGGUUAUAAAGUUUGUAACCAAUAAAUAGUGAAGUAAUAGUGAGGUGAGUCUUGAGGUUGUAGAGUUUGUAACCAAUAAAUAGUGAAGUAAUAGUGAGGUGAGUCUUGAGGUUGUAGAGUUUGUAACCAAUAAAUAGUGAAGUAAUAGUGAGGUGAGUCUUGAGGUUGUAGAGUUUGUAACCAAUAAAUAUCAAGGGAUAACCAAUAAAUGCACAAGUAACCAAUAAAUAUCAAGGGAUAACCAAUAAAUACACAAGGAUCAGCCCGAGGUUAAAGUUUAUCCCCGUGGCACUUAGGAAUAGUGGAAAAACAUAGACAACUGAAAGACUUUAAAUGAGAAUAAGAAGGCAUGUAACCAUGUAACAAUUCAAAAAGAGUUUUAUUAUUCAGUAUAGAAGAGGGAAACCGAUUAAUGAGAUAGGUGGAAGUCAAGACAUAAUCACCUCAAAAUCUUGAAGGUAAUUUUAAUUAGAAUAAUAAAGUCCUUGAAGUCUCAAGGAGGUAUCUAUGUUUUAUUUUCACGACACCAUUUUGCUGUGGAGUAUGAGGACAUGAAGUUUGAUGAAUGAUACUAUUCUCAGAAAAGAAUUAAGAAACAGAAUUGCUUGAACCAAGUUCCUGCGCAUUAUCACUUCUAACGGUAAAAACAAUGGCAUUAAAUUAGGUACGAACCAUGGCAAUGAAAUAUUUUACCAAAGAAAAAAAUUUCUUUUGGACCCUAAAAGGUGAGACCAGGUGGCCCUAGUGUAGUUAUCGACUAUAGUAAGGAAAUACUUACAGUUAGAAUAUGUAGGGGUGUUAUAAGGACCCCAAGUGUCUAUAUGAAUGAGUUGGAAAGGAUGAGAUAUUUUGAUAGAGCUAUCAGGAAAGGAAAGUCUGGAUUGCCUAGCUAAAGGACAAAUGGUACAAGAAAAAGACUGUUUGGAAGAAAAUUUACAUGGAAUAGAAAUAAUUCUAUUCAUUCUUGCAAAGGGCAUGUAACCCAAACGAUUAUGCCAUAAAACUUCUUCAUUCUGUAAUAGAUUGGAAUCAGUACAAUGGGAAACAAUAAAGGGAAUUAAAAUGUUUGGAGAAUAAUUAUCAGAAAAAAUAGAAGAAAUAAUGACAACAAUAGAAUCAGGAUUAGCAGAAGCAGGAACUGGACUGUGAUGUACUGAAGACUGUAUCAAUUUGUAAAGGUCAUUCUCCAAUCUACCAAGCUCUACUGGCCUCUUCAUUGAAGGGGUAUGGAUAAAACAAGAGAGUUUGGUAAAGAGUACAAAAUAAUUUAAUUGGGUAAUGAGCUUUGAAACAGACACAAGAUUAUACUAGAAACUAGGUAUAAUAAUAAGGACAUGAUGAAGGAUGAAAGAGAGAAAAUGAAUAGAGCCCGUGCAAGUCACCUUCACUUUGUAACCAUUAGGAAAGGUAACCAGGCAAGGUGUUACUAAAGGCUGAAUAUUGAAUAAUAAGUCCUUAUUAGAGGUCAUGUGAUUAGUAGCACUAGAGUCAAUAAUCCAAAUGCAAUUAUCUACCUUUCUAAUCAUACAAGUACCAGAAGAAACCACAGACUCUACAGGAACAGGUAAAAAAUGCAUACCAGCAAAACCAGUAGAAACCAUAAGACUAGAAGGUUGAUCUGAAAUCUUGAAACUCUGUAGUAGACUUAGAAGUUGGCUAUACUGCUCCUUGGAUAACAAAGAAAAUGAUAGAUCAUUAGGAUUUCUAGGGAAUAAGCAACAGAAGAAGUGGUCGGCCCAAAAGACUCUUGAAUCUCAGCAGAAGCAGCCACUCGCUUACCCAUAAAAUUAGGAUUGGAAGGCUUGAAAUUAGCAGGAUACCCAAAUAGUUUAUGACACUUUUCAAUAACAUAUCCACUUAUUUUGUAAUAUUUGUAAAACAAGGAAGAUUUAUCUUGAUCAAAGUUGAUUGUAGGAGCAUAAAAUUUAUUGGGAUAACCGCUUUGAGGUUUGGGUGAAAUAGGAUAAGAUCGAGUUGUCGGUUUUAUUAGAUGGAAAAUAUGGUCCAGGUCUACGAUUAUGAGACAUUUAAAAAGAGGCAGAUUCUGUGGGAAAAUGAGCAGGGGAUAUUACUUGUCUCUCCCUUUCAUCUUGUAGUAGGAUGUUAUAUGUCGAAUCAAGAGAUGGGAAUGGUUGUUCCAUAAGAUUGUUACUUCGCACUCCAAUACAUGCCUCAUUCAGACCCAUGAGAAAUUGGUAAACCUUAUUUUCCUCAUAUUCCUUUUGUAGAUUAGGCUUUGCAGCACAUGUGCAGGUAUUGAUAUGAGAUGUAGAAAUAAACCUAAGCUCAUCCCAUAAUCUCUUAAGUUUGUUAACAUAAGAGGCAAUGUCUAAAGAUCCCGACUAGUAGAAGCUAAUUCUUUCUUAAGUUCGAACACCUUAGUGCCACUGAUCAAACCAUACCGCUUGUUCAAUUGACUCUAAAAUAUCUCAGCUGUGUAAGAGUAUUGUACACUUUCUACUAUAUCAGGAGACAAAGAACUGGUCAACCAUGUUAUGACCAUAUUAUUGCAUCUAUCCCAGACCCUAGCAAGGAAUAGAAAUAAUUCUAUUCAUUCUUGCAAAGGGCAUGUAACCCAAACGAUUAUGCCAUAAAACUUCUUCAUUCUGUAAUAGAUUGGAAUCAGUACAAUGGGAAACAAUAAAGGGAAUUAAAAUGUUUGGAGAAUAAUUAUCAGAAAAAAUAGAAGAAAUAAUGACAACAAUAGAAUCAGGAUUAGCAGAAGCAGGAACUGGACUGUGAUGUACUGAAGACUGUAUCAAUUUGUAAAGGUCAUUCUCCAAUCUACCAAGCUCUACUGGCCUCUUCAUUGAAGGGGUAUGGAUAAAACAAGAGAGUUUGGUAAAGAGUACAAAAUAAUUUAAUUGGGUAAUGAGCUUUGAAACAGACACAAGAUUAUACUAGAAAC